RNAcentral lists this ribosomal RNA (373 nucleotides) under uncultured Glomeromycotina. RNAcentral's name for it is "LSU rRNA". Lineage: Eukaryota; Fungi; Glomeromycota. The record is from RNAcentral.
UUGAAAGGGAAACGAUUGAAGUCAGUCGUACCUGUGGGUAAUCAGCCUUUUGGGUGUGAUUUUGUGGAGUGUGAGGAGUUAAACGCCUUCAUGCCUGCAUAUUCGUGCACUUUGGGUGUAUUUACCCGUGUGGUAAGUUAACAUCAAUUUCGGUGGUCAUAAAAUGGCUGGAGGAACGUAGCUUUGAUCUCGUAUUGAAGUGUUAUAGCCUUCGGUAGAUGUGAUAAUCGGGAUUGAGGAUUGCAGCGGAUACCCUUCGGGGCUACCUGUCUGAUCUCUGAUCGUUGCUCUGGUGCCGAAAGCUUGCUUACGGUUAUCAAAGUCGAUGGUCAAUAGGUUAGAAUGGGUUAAAUUCGUUAAGGAUGUUGACGUA